This 406-nucleotide ribosomal RNA is filed under the name uncultured bacterium. RNAcentral describes it as "partial 16S ribosomal RNA". It matches the Rfam family "Bacterial small subunit ribosomal RNA", at positions 30 to 526 of the family's 1533-position model. The record is from RNAcentral.
AUUGAACGCUGGCGGCAGGCCUAACACAUGCAAGUCGAACGAGUGGCGGACGGGUGAGUAAUGUCUGGGCAACUGCCCGAUGGAGGGGGCUAACUACUGGAACCGGUAGCUAAUACCGCAUACCAUCGGAUGUGCCCAGAUGGGAUUAGCUAGUCGGUGGGGUAAAGGCUCACCAAGGCGACGAUCCCUAGCUGGGCUGAGAGGAUGACCAGCCACACUGGAACUGAGACACGGUCCAGACUCCUACGGGAGGCAGCAGUGGGGAAUAUUCCACAAUGGGAGCAAGCCUGAUAGAGCCAUGCCGCGUGAAUGAAGAAGGCCUUCGGGUUGUAAAGUACUGUCAGCGGGGAGGCGUUACCCGAAGAAGAAGCAACGGCUAACUCCGUGCCAGCAGCCGCGGUAAUUC